Molecule: transfer RNA, 72 nt
Filed under: Bacillota bacterium
Lineage: Bacteria; Bacillati; Bacillota
Description: tRNA-Thr
Rfam family: tRNA
About the family: Transfer RNA (tRNA) molecules are approximately 80 nucleotides in length.
Source: RNAcentral
GCCGGGAUAGCUCAGUGGUAGAGCAGCUCACUCGUAAUGAGCAGGCCGUGAGUUCAAGUCUCAUUCCCGGCU